This 465-nucleotide ribosomal RNA is filed under the name uncultured bacterium. RNAcentral's name for it is "partial 16S ribosomal RNA". It matches the Rfam family "Bacterial small subunit ribosomal RNA", at positions 338 to 795 of the family's 1533-position model. The record is from RNAcentral.
CCUACGGGUGGCAGCAGUGGGGAAUAUUGCGCAAUGGGCGAAAGCCUGACGCAGCGACGCCGCGUGAGGGAUGAAGGUCUUCGGAUCGUAAACCUCUGUCAGCAGGGAAGAACGGUCACUGUGCUAAUCAGCAGUGAAUUGACGGUACCUGCAAAGGAAGCACCGGCUAACUCCGUGCCAGCAGCCGCGGUAAUACGGAGGGUGCGCGCGUUAAUCGGAAUUACUGGGCGUAAAGCGCUCGUAGGCGGUAUGUCAAGUCAAGGGUGAAAUCCCCGCGCUCAACGUGGGAACUGCCAUUGAAACUGGCAAACUGGAGUGUGGGAGAGGAUAGUGGAAUUCCAGGUGUAGGAGUGAAAUGCGUAGAUAUCUGGAGGAACAUCAGUGGCGAAGGCGACUAUCUGGCACAUAACUGACGCUGAGGAGCGAAAGCGUGGGUAGCAAACAGGAUUAGAUACCCCUGUAGUC